Molecule: long non-coding RNA, 1353 nt
Organism: Sitophilus oryzae (rice weevil)
Lineage: Eukaryota; Metazoa; Arthropoda; Insecta; Coleoptera; Curculionidae
Exons: 7
Source: RefSeq, a predicted model, not a curated record
UGUUCAUUUUUAAUGCCGAGGGAUCUUUAUCUCUUUAUCGCCGGCAUUUAAAAUUUUGUGAUUUCUUAAUAAAAAGUGAGUUUUGUGUACACUAUUUCUUCAUAAAUUCUUGUUUGUGCAUCGAUCAGCCUCUCUAAAAAACGAGAUUUAAUAUCACACAUCAGCACACUGCUGCCCAGCUACCGAACCGCCAGGGAUCUUACUAAUUAUGCUCGAUGGCAGAUGAAAUUUACGUAAGGUGGUGUCCCGACGGAUUGGAUCAAAGGGUGACGCUCCAAAGCACGACGCUGCCUUCUUCCGAAAAGGAGACCUGGAAUAUCUCCCGAACUUUCAUGAAAUUGAGAUGAUGGAAGGAUUGAAUAAAUAUGUGUUUAAACUAAGUGUUUAAAACAGUGGAAAUAUUUGGAACAUUUAUAAGUUGAAUUGCUGAUCAAUAUGGUUAAGUCUGGCGGGAAGGUUUAAUCUUUUUGAGAAGACAUGCAGACAUUUUACGAGCGGUCAAUACUGUGCUCAAUAUGAGGAAGCACUUUUCUUCAGAUGAAUAUUCUUUCUAUAAAUGGAAUAUAUUGUAUUCUAAACUUUCUUGGUUGGCCUCUAUCAUGCUUUAGAUGAUAUUACGUCUUAGUAUUUCAGUAGAUUGUCCAACUUGUGAAGCAAUCUAAAAAAAUGAAGCAAUAAAAAUUAAUCUGGAAUUUGUUUCUAAAAAAUGAAAUACUGCAUUAUGGGUUAUGGUCUAAAUAGUUCUCUCAUUUCACGAUGUAACAACAGUAACACACUUAAAAUAGAUUGUCUGAGCCUGAAACAAUCUGGAAGUGGCAACUUUGUGUAAGAAAUGAAUACUACAAUAACAUAUAAUAUCUAACACUGGCUGGAAACUCCCGUAUUAUGUUGAUGGAACAGCAGCAGUAGAUUAUCUUGACUUUUUCACAAAUCUUGUAAUUGAUACAGCUACCAGGAUUCUUAAAAGUAUUUAUUUUGCUGCUUCUGACUGUUGCUUCCAUCCUACUCCUACUCGUCUUCAACAGGAUUUAGCAAAAAUUGGUCUUGCUCCUUCACCAUACACCAAAAUGUCGCUUCUGAAUAUUAUGCGUAUAAUAGGCAUCUAUUUUUAUUCUGGUUUGUUGUAAAACUUUGAUAAUCUGAAUAUGACGUUAAAAAUGUGUACUGUACUACAGAAAAAGUUAUAUAGCUUAUAAUUUAUCUGUUAUUUCUAAAAUCAUGCUUUGAAUUUUAUUUAAAACGUUGAUGUAUGCUGCUUGGUAUUGUCUUCAAAUAUUUUUUGUAUAAUGGGUAAACCAAUUUUCUAUAAAUGGGGGUUUGUAUUUUUUAUUGUUAUUAUUUUUUUAAUUAAAA